CGUAGGUGGCAAGCGUUGUCCGGAGUUACUGGGUGUAAAGGGCGUGUAGGCGGGAAGAUAAGUCAGAUGUGAAAUUCCAUGGCUCAACUGUGGCGCUGCAUCUGAAACUAUUUUUCUUGAGUGAUGGAGAGGAAAGUGGAAUUCCUAGUGUAGCGGUGAAAUGCGUAGAUAUUAGGAGGAACACCAGUGGCGAAGGCGACUUUCUGGACAUUAACUGACGCUGAGGCGCGAAAGCGUGGGGAGCAAACAGGAUUAGAUACCCUGGUAGUCCACGCUGUAAACGAUGGAUACUAGGUGUAGGAGGUAUCGACCCCUUCUGUGCCGGAGUUAACACAAUAAGUAUCCACCUGGGAGUACGGCCGCAAGGUUG
This 370-nucleotide ribosomal RNA is filed under the name uncultured organism. RNAcentral's name for it is "bacterial SSU rRNA". It matches the Rfam family "Bacterial small subunit ribosomal RNA", at positions 526 to 896 of the family's 1533-position model. The record is from RNAcentral.